This 1204-nucleotide long non-coding RNA is filed under the name Pan troglodytes (chimpanzee). Its description in RNAcentral is "long non-coding RNA NONPTRT003781". The record is from RNAcentral. Lineage: Eukaryota; Metazoa; Chordata; Mammalia; Primates; Hominidae.
GCUGUAGGGUCCUUUUGGUGAGGGCGCGCGGGAAGCCGGGGUGCUCUCCCCGCAGAGGCGCGGCCGGGCCCGGGGCCUGCGGGCUGGGAGAGGGCAGUCGCCUUCCUCGCGCCCCGGGACCCUCGCCGCCUCCUCUCCCCGCCUCUGCAGACGCAGCCGGGCGCCUUCCUCCCGGAGGGCGGCUCGCGCACCCAGGCUCCGCGUCUUGUCCCAACAGAAAUGAAUGAAGACGCUGUUCCGGUUAACUCCAGGUCACGAGAACAGUGAGGCACUUCUGAAACGAACCCAUUAGGAACAUUGAAACAAAUAAAAAAAGCCCGCAUCUGGCAGCGCCCACUACAGGCUGCUGACGUAGACCCUGCUGUCCUGGAGCUCCUCCUCACUCAGUCGACCCCGCGCGCGCACACAGCCCGCGUCCUCUUCGCCCCCGGCUCGGUCCUGCCCCGCGUCCCUGCAGUUCACAAAGGGUAAGAGGGCGCCAUUGGGGCUCUGUGGGGCGCCCCCGCUGAGGAUGUUGUCGGCCGCGCUCUCCAUCUCCUCUAUGGUCAUGUCGCAGGCGUCGGCCAGCUCCUGGGUGGUGACCUCGAUGAACUUGGGAUCUUGAGCAAACUGCCCCAGUCCUUCUGAAAUCAAGACCUGAAGGAGCGGGGUGGGAGCCAUGAAGAACCAAAGGAACAUUAUUCCUGGAGCCCAGCUCUUCCCUUGAGGGCUAGAGCGAGGGGUAUCUGGGCCGUCCUGACCAGGGCAAACAGAGUGGCAUUGAACAUGACUGUCCCGUCGCUGUUCAGAGGCAUGUUCAUGGAGACCAGGCGCUGCAGGCGAAGAGAAGCAAAGCUGGUGAUGAUGGCAGGCGGUGCUUAGGGGACCGCAGAACACCGUGGCAGAGUGAUAUGGUUUGGAUCUGUGUCCUCGCCCAAAUCUCAUGUUGAAUUGUAAUCCCCAGAACUGGAGGUGGGGCCUGAUGGAAGGUGAUUGCAUCAUGGGGUGGAUUUCUCAUAAAUGGUUUGGUACCAUCCCCUUGGUGAGUGAGUUCUCAUGAGAUCUGCUUGUUUAAGUGUGUGGUCCCUCCCCCUUCUCUCUUGCUCCCUGUCUUUCCAUGUGAUGCACCUGCCUCCCCUUUGCCUUCCACCAUGACUGGAAGCUUCCUGAGGCCUCCCCAGAAGCAGAAUGCUAGUGCCAUGCUUCCUGUACAGCCUGCUGAACU